GAUCAUGGCUCAGGAUGAACGCUAGCUACAGGCUUAACACAUGCAAGUCGAGGGGAAACGACAUCGAAAGCUUGCUUUUUGUAUGGGCGUCGACCGGCGCACGGGUGAGUAACGCGUAUCCAACCUGCCCAUCACUUGGGAAUAACCUUGCGAAAGUAAGACUAAUGCCCAAUGAUAUCCCACGAAGGCAUCCGAAUGGGAUUAAAGAUUUAUCGGUGAUGGAUGGGGAUGCGU
Molecule: ribosomal RNA, 234 nt
Filed under: uncultured bacterium
Lineage: Bacteria
Description: partial 16S ribosomal RNA
Rfam family: Bacterial small subunit ribosomal RNA
Source: RNAcentral